Molecule: long non-coding RNA, 533 nt
Organism: Sapajus apella (tufted capuchin)
Lineage: Eukaryota; Metazoa; Chordata; Mammalia; Primates; Cebidae
Exons: 3
Source: RefSeq, a predicted model, not a curated record
UAAUAAUCCUUUGAAUUUCUGCGAUAUCAGUUGUAAAGUCUCUUUUCUCACCUCUGAUUUUAUUUGGACCUUCUCUCCUUUUUAAUUGGUUAGUCUGGCUAAAAGUUUGUCAAUUUUGUUUAGGCUUUCAAAAACUAACUUUUAAUUUCGUUGAUCUUUUGUUUUUUGUUGUUGUUGUUUUUAGAUAAGUAAUAUGCAUUACAUUUUUAUUUUUUAUUAUACAAGUAAUACUGAUGGAUAAAAAAUCUUGCAAUCUGUCAGUAAGACACACAGAAAGCUCUUUAGUCUGAUCAGGUCCCAGCUAUUUAUCUUUGUUUUUAUUGCAUUUGCUUUUGGGUUCUUGGUCAGGAAAUCCUUGCCUAAGCCAAUGUCUAGAAGGGUUUUCCAAUGUUAUCGUCUAGAAUUUUAAUAGUUUCACGUCUUAGGUUUAAGUCCUUAAUCCAUCUUGAGUUGAUUUUUGUAUAAGGUGAGAGAUGGGGAUCCAGUUUCAUUCUCCUACAUGUGUCUUGCCAAUUAUCCCAGCACCAUUUGUU